GACGAACCGCACAAACGUUAUUCGGAAUCACUGGGCUUAAAGGGUGCGUAGGCGGUCCGGAAAGUUGGGUGUGAAAUCCCUUGGCUCAACCGAGGAAUUGCGCUCAAAACUGCCGGACUUGAGGGAGACAGAGGUGAGCGGAACUUAGGGUGGAGCGGUGAAAUGCGUUGAUAUCCUGAGGAACUCCAGUUGCGAAGGCGGCUCACUGGGUCUUUUCUGACGCUGAGGCACGAAAGCUAGGGGAGCGAAGAGG
Molecule: ribosomal RNA, 253 nt
Filed under: uncultured prokaryote
Description: partial 16S ribosomal RNA
Rfam family: Bacterial small subunit ribosomal RNA
Source: RNAcentral